This 252-nucleotide ribosomal RNA is filed under the name uncultured bacterium. Its description in RNAcentral is "partial 16S ribosomal RNA". It matches the Rfam family "Bacterial small subunit ribosomal RNA", at positions 524 to 776 of the family's 1533-position model. The record is from RNAcentral.
UACGUAGGUCCCGAGCGUUGUCCGGAUUUAUUGGGCGUAAAGCGAGCGCAGGUGGUUUAUUAAGUCUGGUGUAAAAGGCAGUGGCUCAACCAUUGUAUGCAUUGGAAACUGGUAGACUUGAGUGCAGGAGAGGAGAGUGGAAUUCCAUGUGAAGCGGUGAAAUGCGUAGAUAUAUGGAGGAACACCGGUGGCGAAAGCGGCUCUCUGGCCUGUAACUGACACUGAGGCACGAAAGCGUGGGGAGCAAAUAGG